AGGGAAAUGCUGGAAUUGGUAGACAGGGUUAGUUUAGGCCUAACUGGUUGCAAGAUCAUGCAGGUUCAAGUCCUGCUUUCUCUA
Molecule: non-coding RNA, 84 nt
Organism: Pestalotiopsis sp. 9143b
Lineage: Eukaryota; Fungi; Ascomycota; Sordariomycetes; Amphisphaeriales; Sporocadaceae
Source: the annotation of a GenBank genome assembly